Pan troglodytes (chimpanzee) is the source of this 5740-nucleotide long non-coding RNA. RefSeq lists it as uncharacterized. The transcript has 3 exons. NCBI's taxonomy places the organism in Eukaryota, Metazoa, Chordata, Mammalia, Primates, Hominidae. The record is from RefSeq and is a predicted model, not a curated record.
GGACAGGUAAGAUGAAGCCUCACCAGGAAAGAGAAGCAAGGAAAUCAUAACAGAAUAAAACCAAAAUGAAACACAGUACCUGCCUUCAUUCUGAACUAACUCGUUCCUGACCUGCAGCCUAACCUGGAGCCCUGGUCCCUGUGCUCUGCCAGAGGAAGCCUGUGAGCUAGGACAGAGCAGAUGCUGCCACUGAUUCCAAUGCCAACACCCCUGACAAGCAUGGACACUGAGCAGCCUGCACACGCAUGAAUCCAAAAUCUGGCUCUGGCCCGACGGACAGUCAAGGAAAGAAAGAAGUCACAACAUAAUUUAAUACUCGAUAAGUACAGGGAUACCCUGCUUUAUUGCACUUUGUAGAUAUUGCAUGUUUUAUGAAGGCUGGUUUUGUGGCAACCCUGCAUCAAGCAAGUCUAUUGAUGAGCACCAUUUUUCCAACAGCAUAUGCUCAUUUUGCACCACACUUGGCACUUGGUAAUUCUCACAGUAUUUCAAGCCUUUUCAUUAUUAUAUCUGUUAUGGUGAUCUGUAAUCAGUGAUCUUUGAAGUCACUGUUAUAAUUGUUUUGGAGGCACCACAAACUGCACCCGUAUAAGAUGGCGAACUUAAUAUACGUAGUGUGUGUUCUGAUUGUUCCACACACUGGCCAUUCCCCCAUCUCUUUCCUUCUCCUCAGACCUCCUUAUUUCCUGAGACAAAGGAAUAGUAAAACUAGGCCAAUUAAUAACCCUACAAUGGUCUCUAAAUGCUCAAAUAAAAGCAAGAGUCCCCCAUUUCUCACUUUAAAUCAAAGCUAGAAAUGAUUAAGCUUAGUGAGUAAGGCAUGUCUAAAACUGAGAUAGGCUGAAAGUGAGGCCUCUUGCACCAAAUGGUUAGCUAAAUUGUAAAUGCAAAAAAAAAGUUGUUGAAGGAAAUUUAAAGUGCUACUUCAGUGAACACAUAAAUGAUAAGAAAAUGAAACAGCCUUAUUGCUGAUGUGGAGAAAGGUUUAGUGACCUGGAUAGAAGAUCGAACAAGGCAAAAUAUUCCCUUAAGCCAAAGCCUAAUCCAGAGGAAGGCCCCAAUUCUCUUUAAUUCUAGAGUUAGAAGCCUGAAGGAGGUAAGGAAGCUGCAGAAGAAAAGUUGGAGGCUAGCAAAUAUUGGUUCUUGAGGAUUAAGGAAAGAAGCCAUCUUCAUAACAUAAAAGUGCAAGGUGAGGUAGCAAGUGCUGAUGUAGAAGCUGCAGCAAAUUAUCCAAAAGAUCUAGCUAGGAUUAUUGAUGAAGGUGGCAGUUCUAGACAACAGAUUUUCAGUGUAGACAAAACAGCCUUCCAUUGUAAGAAGAUGCCAUCUAGGACCUUCUUAGCUAGAGAGGAGAAGUCAAUGCCCGGCUUCAAAGCUUCAAAGGACAGGCUGACUCUCUUGUUAGGAACUAAUGCAGGUGGUGACUUUAAGUUGAAGCCAACACUCAUUUACUAUUUCUAAAGUCCCAGGGCGCUUAAGAACUCUGCUAAAUCAACUCUGCCUGUGCUCUGUAAAUGGAACAACGACACCUGGACGGCUGCAUAUCUGGUUUACACCAUGGUUAACUGAAUAUUUUAAACCCACUGUUGAAACCUACUGCUUAGAAAAAAAAAAAGUUCUUUCAAAAUAUUACCACUCAUUGACAGUGAACCCUGUCACCCAAGAGCUCUCAUAGAGAGUAACAAGGAGAUUAAUGUUUUCAUGCCUGCUAAUACAACCAUCAUUCUUUUUUCUUCUUUCCAGCUUUUAGGUUCAAGGGGUACAUGUGGGUUUAUUACAUGGGUAAAUUGCAUGUCACAGGGGUUUGGUGUACAGAUAAUUUUGUCACCCAGGUAAUCAUCAGAAUAGACAAUAGGUAGUUUUUUAAUCCUUACCCUCCUCCCACCCUCUUCCUUCAAGUAGGCCCUGGUGUCUAUUGUUCCCUUCUUUGUGUCAAUGUGUGCUCAAUGUUUAGCUCCCACUUGUAAGUGAGAACAUGCAGUAUUUGGUUUUCUGUUCCUGAAUUAAAUUGCUUAGGAUGAUGGCCUCUAGCUACAUCCAUGUUGCUGCUAAAGACAUGAUUUCAUUCUUUUUUAUGGCUGCAUAGUAUUCCAUGGUGUAAAUGUACCAUAUUUUGUUUAUCCAUUCUACCACUGAUGGGCACCUGGGUUAGUGCCAUGUCUUUGCUAUUGUGAACAGUGCUAUGAUGAAUGUAUGUGUGCAUGUGUCUUUAUGGUAGAAUGAUUUAUAUUCCUUUGGGUAUAUACUCAGUAAUGGGAUUGCUGGGUUGAAUGAUAAUUCUAAGUUAUUUGAGAAAUCUCCACACUGCUUUCCACAGUGGCUGAACUAAUUUACAUUCCCACCAACAGUGUAUGUAUUCCCUUUUUUCUACAACCUUGCCAGUAUCUGUUAUUGUUUGACUUUUAAGAACAGCCAUUCUGACUGCUAUGAGAUGGUAUCUCAUUGUGGUUUUGAUUUGCAUUUCCCUAAUGAUUAGUGAUAUUGGGCAUUUUUUUUCAUAUGCUUGUUAGCCAUGUGUAUUCUUCUUUUGAGAAGUGUCUGUUCAUAUCCUUUGCCCACUUUUUUUGCUUAUUAAUUUGUUUAAGUACCUUAUAGAUUCUGGAUAUUAGAUAUUUGUUGGAUGCAUAGUUUGCAAGUAUUUUUUCCCCAUUCUGUAGGUUGCCUGUUUUCCCUGUUGAUGAUUUCCUUUGCUGUGCAGAAACUCUUUAGUUUAAUUAGGUCCUACUUGUUAAUUUUUUGUUGUUGUUGUUGCAAUUGCUUUUAGAAUCUUCAUCGUGAAGUUUUUAUCAGGGUUGAUGACCAGAAUUGUAUUUAAUAGGUUUUCUUGUAGGGUUUUUAUAGUUUUCAAUUUUACAUUUAAGUCUUUAAUCCAUCAUGAGUUGAUUUUGAUAUAUAGUGAAAGGUAGGACUCUAGUUUCAAUCUUCUGCAUAUGACUAACCAGUUAUCCCAGCAUCAUUUAUUGAAUAAGGAGUCCUUUCCCCAGUGCUUGUUGUUAUCAACUUUGUUGAAGAUCAGAUGGUUAUAAGUGUGGGGCUUUAUUUCUGGGCGGUCUAACCUGUUUCAUUGGUCUAUGUAUCUGUUUCUUUACUAGUAGCAUGCUGCUUUAGUUACUGCAGCCUUGUAGUAUAGUUUGAAGUUGAGUAGUGUGAUGCCUCCAGCUUUGUUCUUUUUGCUUAGGAUCGGUCUGGCUAUUUGGGCUCUUUUUUGGUUCCAAAUGAAUUUUAGAAUAGUUUUUUCCUAAUUCUGUGAAAAAAGCAUCGUUGGUAGUGUGAUAGGAAUAAAAUUGAAUCAGUAAAUUGCUUUAGGCAGAAUGGCCGUUUUAACAAUAUUGAUUGUUUCUAUCGAUGAGCAUGGAAUGCUUUUCCAUUUGUUUGUGUCAUCUUUGAUUUCUUUCAGCAGUGUUUUGUGAUGCUCAUUGUAGAAAUCUUUCACCUCUCUGAUUGGCUAGGUAUCAGAAAUAAAAUACAUAGGUAUUUUAUUCUUUUUAUGGCCAUUGUAAAUGGGAUUGUGUCCUCGAUUUAGCUCUCAGCUUGGAUGUUAUUGGCGUAUAUAAAUGCUACUGGCUUUUGGACAUUGCUUUUGUAUCCUGAAACUUUGCUGAAGUUUUAAAAUCAGAUUUAGGGGCCUUUGGGCAGAGACUAUGGGGUUUUCUGGGUAUAGAAUUAUAUUGUCUCCAAAGAGAGAUAGUUUGACUUUCUCUCUUCCUAUUUGGAUGCCUUUUAUUUCUUUCUCUUGUCUGAUUGCUCUGGCCAGAAGUUCCAGCACUAUGUUGAAUAGGAGUGGUGAAAGUGGACAUCUUUGUCUUGUUCCAAUUCUUGAUAAGAAUGUUUCCAGCUUUUGCCCAUUCAGUACAAUGUUGGCUGUUAUUAUUUUUUAUUCCAUUUUGUAUGUCGUCUGUUUACUCUGUUGAUAGUUUCUUUUGCUACAACAUCAUUCUUUCUUAUAAUGUUUGCCCAUGUUAUUUUGAGGUAUGUUCCUUCAAUGCCUAGUUUGCAAAACCACCAUUCUGCAGCCCAUGGAUCAAGAAAUAAUUUCAACUUUCAAAUCUUAUUGUUUAAGAAAUGCAUUAGGCUGGCCGGGUGUGGUGGCUCUCGCCUGUAAUCCCAGCACUUUGGGAGGCUCAGGCGGGUGGAUCACGAGGUCAGGAGAUCGAGACCAUCCUGGCCAACAUGCUGAAACCCCGUCUCUACUAAAUAUACAAAAAAUUAGCCGGGCAUGGUGGUGGGUGACUGUAGUCCCAGCUACUUGGGAGACUGGGGCAAGAGAAUGGCGUGAACCUGGGAGGCAGAGCUUUCAGUGAGCCGAGAUGGUGCCACUGCACUCCAGCCUGGGCAACAGAGUGAGACUCCGUCUCAAAAAAAAAAAGAAAAGCAUUAGGUAAGGCCACAGCUGUCAUAGAUAGUGAUUCCUCUGAUGUAUCUGGGCCAAGUAAAUCGAAAACCUUCUGGAAGGGAUUAACCAUUUUAGAUGCCAUUAAGAACAUUUGCGAUUCAUGAAAGGUGGUCAAGAUAUUGAUAUUCUCAGAAGUUUGGAAGAAGUUGGUUCCAACCCUCACAAAUGACUUUGAAAGGUUUAACACUUCAGUGGAAGAAGUCACCGCACAUGUGGUGGAAACAGCAAGAGAACUAGAAUUAGAAGUGGAGCCUCAAGAUGUGACUGAAUUGCUGCAAUCUCAUGAUCAAACUUGAAUGGAUGAGGAGUUGCUUCUUAUGGAUGAGCAAAGAAAAUGGCUUCUUGAAAUGGAUUCUACUCCUGGUGAAGAUGCGGUGAACGUUGUUGAAGUGACAACAAAGGACUUAGAAUAUUACAUAAAUGUAGUUGAUAAAGCAGCAGCAGGGUUUGAGAGGACUGACUCCAAUUUGAAAGAAGUUCUACUGUGGGUAUAAUGCUGUCAAACAGCAUCACAUUCUAUAGAGAAGUCUUUUGUGAAAGGAAAAGUCAAUCAAUAUGGCAAAGUUCACUGUUGUCUUAUUUUGAGAAAUUGCCACAGCCACCCCAGCCUUCAGCAAUCAUCAACAUGAAAGCAAGACCCUCCAUUAGCAACAAGAUUAUGGCUCGCUGAAGGCUCAGAUGAUCAUUAGCAUUUUUUAGAAAUAAAGUAUUUUUAAAUUAAGGAGAGGUGCCCGAUGAGCUCCCAGUCAUGUGGUUCAGGGCGGGCUCUGGAAGACUCACAGAGGAGACUCCUCCAAGAAACCAAGAAGGUUUCUCUCCAAGUCGGGAUCUGCUCUGCUCAGGAUGCUCCUCCAACACACACAGUGAAAAACUGAGCACCUAGAGAGCAACACCAAAAACCCAUGGCCAAUAAUGGAGAACCAAAUCAGGAGAGCAUUCAGCAAAGCAAUUCUUGCUGUAGAAGGAACAGCACAAAAAGCUGGAAGGAAACUGUGGCAUGCGUGAAAGAUAACUUGUCAGUGUUUGCAGUCUACUGAGAUCCCCGCUGCAAGAAAAGGCAGGAUUUUCACUUGCUUCUUGGCCCACCUCUGUUGUCCAGAAUCCAGGACAGGUGACAAGAGAAGCGGAUGUGAUCUGCACAAGCUGGUGCAGCUGGGUUGGGAGUUGCUCCUCCUGGACAGGCCGGGAAGGGUGCUGGAGGGGAGGGAGGAGGAGAGAGGUUUUAGGGGAGGGGUGCUGAGCAGUCAGGGACCUGUAAGGUCACAUUUCUUUCAGGUAUUCUUUCUAGGUGUACUGAAUGGGAACAUUGUCUGUCAUCCCUAGACUGCAUUAAAGACCUAAACUGCU